GGAUGAAGAACGUAGCGAAAUGCGAUAAGUAAUGUGAAUUGCAGAAUUCAGUGAAUCAUCGAAUCUUUGAACGCACAUUGCGCCCGCCAGUAUUCUGGCGGGCAUGCCUGUUCGAGCGUCAUUUCAACCCUCAAGCCCCAGCGGCCUGGUGUUGGGGACCGGCGACCUCGCCCGAGCCCGCCCUCCGGGGCGCGUGCCCGGUGCGUCCGCCGCCCCCGAAAUGAAUUGGCGGCCUCGUCGCGGCCUCCUCUGCGUAGUAGCACAACCUCGCAAGCGGGAGCGCGACGCGGCCACUGCCGUAAAACGCCCAACUUUUUUAGAGUUGACCUCGGAUCAGGUAGGAAUACCCGCUGAACUUAAGCAUAUCAAUAAGCGGAGGA
Molecule: unclassified non-coding RNA, 380 nt
Filed under: soil metagenome
Description: partial contains 5.8S ribosomal RNA, internal transcribed spacer 2, and large subunit ribosomal RNA
Rfam family: 5.8S ribosomal RNA (bases 2-121)
Source: RNAcentral